AUGAGGCGAACCGGGGGAACUGAAACAUCUAAGUACCCCGAGGAAAAGAAAUCAACCGAGAUUCCGAAAGUAGCGGCGAGCGAAAUUGGACUAGCCCUUAAGCUUUAUAUGCGUUAGACGAACAGCCUGGAAAGGCCGGCGAUACAGGGUGAUAGCCCCGUAGUCGACAACGCACAUUCAGUGAAAUCGAGUAGGGCGGGACACGUGAUAUCCUGUCUGAAUAUGGGGGGACCAUCCUCCAAGGCUAAAUACUACUGACUGACCGAUAGUGAACCAGUACCGUGAGGGAAAGGCGAAAAGAACCCCUGUGAGGGGAGUGAAAUAGAACCUGAAACCGUGUACGUACAAGCAGUAGGAGCAGGCUUGUCCUGUGACUGCGUACCUUUUGUAUAAUGGGUCAGCGACUUAUAUUCAGUGGCAAGGUUAACCAUCUAGGGGAGCCGUAGGGAAACCGAGUCUUAACUGGGCGCUCAGUCUCUGGAUAUAGACCCGAAACCAGGUGAUCUAGCCAUGGGCAGGUUGAAGAUUGAGUAACAUCAAUUGGAGGACCGAACCGACUAAUGUUGAAAAAUUAGCGGAUGACUUGUGGCUAGGGGUGAAAGGCCAAUCAAACCUGGAGAUAGCUGGUUCUCCCCGAAAGCUAUUUAGGUAGCGCCUCGGACGAAUACUACUGGGGGUAGAGCACUGUUAAGGCUAGGGGGUCAUCCCGACUUACCAACCCUUUGCAA
This 728-nucleotide ribosomal RNA is filed under the name uncultured bacterium. RNAcentral's name for it is "bacterial LSU rRNA". It matches the Rfam family "Bacterial large subunit ribosomal RNA", at positions 174 to 952 of the family's 2925-position model. The record is from RNAcentral.